AUACGGAGGGUGCAAGCGUUAUCCGGAAUUAUUGGGUUUAAAGGGUCCGUAGGCGGCUAGAUAAGUCAGUGGUGAAAUUCUCUCGCUCAACGAGAGACCUGCCAUUGAUACUGUCUUGGCUAGAGUUACAGUGAGGUGAGUGGAAUGUGUAGUGUAGCGGUGAAAGGCAUAGAUAUUACACAGAACACCGAUUGCGAAGGAAGCUCACUAACUGUAUACUGACGCUGAUGGACGAAAGCGUGGGGAGCAAACAGGAUUAGAAACCCUAGUAGUCC
RNAcentral lists this ribosomal RNA (275 nucleotides) under uncultured bacterium. RNAcentral describes it as "partial 16S ribosomal RNA". It matches the Rfam family "Bacterial small subunit ribosomal RNA", at positions 523 to 796 of the family's 1533-position model. The record is from RNAcentral.